UUAUUAAUGAUAUUUUUUAAUAUUAAUUUGAUUUGAUUAUUUUAUUUUUUUUUAGUAAAUUAAUGAAUUGAAUAAUGAUUUUUAACUGUUAAGGUUAGUUAUAAUAUUUUAUAAAAAUUAUUAGUACCUUUUGUAUCAGGGUUUUUUUAUUAAUAAAUUUAUUUUUGUUUCCCGAAAUUGAAGUAUUUAUUUUUUUAUAAAUUUAUUUGUUUUAUAACAUUUUAAAAUUUAAAAAUUGUAAUUAUAAGUUAUUCGUUUUCUAUUAUAUCUGGUUAUUCAGGAUAAAAUUUAAUUUUAUAUAAUUUUUAUUAUAUUAUUAUUUAUUGGGGAUAAGCUCAAUUUAUUUGGUGUAAUUUUUUUAUGUUAAUUGUUUUUAAUUUUAGUAUCUUUUAUUAAGUUCGUAAUAGAUUUUAAUUGUUAUUUAUGAUUUUUUUUAAUUCAACUUUUUACUGAUUUAAAUUAAGUAAUUUAUAUUUAAUUUUAAUAAUGAUUAAAUUAGUAUAAUGUUAAUUUUAAUAUUAAUGAAUUCAACAAUAUUUAAUUUUCAACUGUUUAUCAAAAACAUUUCUUUUAGUUUAAAUUAAAAGUUUAUUCUGCCCUAUGAUUGACUGUUAAAUGGCUGCAGUAUUUUGACUGUGCAAAGGUAGCAUAAUAAGUAGUUUUUUAAUUGGAUACUAGUAUGAAUGGAUUAAUGAGAAAUUAUUUUUAUUAUUUUUAUUUUUGUAAUUUUAUUUUUUAGUUAAAAAGCUUAAUUGAUUUUUUGGGACAAUAAGACCCUAUAGAACUUUAUUUAUUAUUAUAAUUUGUAAUUUUAGGAUAAAAUAGUUUUAUUGUAAUGUUAUAUUUAAUUGGGGUGAUUUAUAAAUUUUUAAACUUUAUUUAAACUUUCAAUAAUUAUUGAAAAUAUUGAUCCAAUAAUUUGAUUCAAAGAAAAAGUUACCUUAGGGAUAACAGCGUUAUUUUAAUGGAAAGUUCUUAUUUAUAUUAAAGUUUGCGACCUCGAUGUUGAAUUAAGAUUAAAUUAAGGGGUAGUUUCUUUAAAUUUAAGUCUGUUCGACUUUUAAAUUCUUACAUGAUUUGAGUUCAAACCGGUGUGAGCCAGGUUGGUUUUUAUCUUAAAAUAUAUUUAUUAUAUUAGUACGAAAGGACCAUUUAAUACUAUUAAUUAUAGUCAACUUAA
This 1180-nucleotide ribosomal RNA is filed under the name Mileewa sharpa. RNAcentral's name for it is "16S ribosomal RNA". Lineage: Eukaryota; Metazoa; Arthropoda; Insecta; Hemiptera; Cicadellidae. The record is from RNAcentral.